This 785-nucleotide small RNA is filed under the name Pan troglodytes (chimpanzee). RNAcentral's name for it is "processed transcript". The record is from RNAcentral. Lineage: Eukaryota; Metazoa; Chordata; Mammalia; Primates; Hominidae.
GCAGCUCUCCAUAUGUGCAUCCCUUUGCCUGUCCCCUACUCUCCCAACCAUUUCCUCUCAGGGCUUCCAUGCUUGGGGAAUGUCAUGGGUGAGACUGCAUUUGAAGGCCUGGGACACAUCGACCACAUUGUAUAUGGCUGCCAGCAACAGGAAGGAGGGGGAGAGAAUACCAACUCCAUCAGUUCCAAUGGAGAAGAUUCAGAUGAGGCUCAAAUGCGACUUCAGCUGAAGCGGAAGCUGCAAAGAAAUAGAACAUCCUUUACCCAAGAGCAAAUUGAGGCCCUGGAGAAAGAGUUUGAGAGAACCCAUUAUCCAGAUGUGUUUGCUCGAGAAAGACUAGCAGCCAAAAUAGAUCUACCUGAAGCAAGAAUACAGGUAUGGUUUUCUAAUCGAAGGGCCAAAUGGAGAAGAGAAGAAAAACUGAGGAAUCAGAGAAGACAGGCCAGCAACACACCUAGUCAUAUUCCUAUCAGCAGUAGUUUCAGCACCAGUGUCUACCAACCAAUUCCACAACCCACCACACCUGUUUCCUCCUUCACAUCUGGCUCCAUGUUGGGCCGAACAGACACAGCCCUCACAAACACCUACAGCGCUCUGCCGCCUAUGCCCAGCUUCACCAUGGCAAAUAACCUGCCUAUGCAACCCCCAGUCCCCAGCCAGACCUCCUCAUACUCCUGCAUGCUGCCCACCAGCCCUUCAGUGAAUGGGCGGAGUUAUGAUACCUACACCCCCCCACAUAUGCAGACACACAUGAACAGUCAGCCAAUGGGCACCUCGGGCACCAC